Molecule: ribosomal RNA, 253 nt
Filed under: uncultured bacterium
Lineage: Bacteria
Description: partial 16S ribosomal RNA
Rfam family: Bacterial small subunit ribosomal RNA
Source: RNAcentral
UACGUAGGGGGCAAGCGUUGUCCGGAAUUAUUGGGCGUAAAGAGCUCGUAGGCGGUCUGUUGCGUCGGCUGUGAAAACUCGGGGCUCAACUCCGAGCCUGCAGUCGAUACGGGCAGACUAGAGUGCGGUAGGGGAGACUGGAAUUCCUGGUGUAGCGGUGAAAUGCGCAGAUAUCAGGAGGAACACCAAUAGCGAAGGCAGCUCGCUGGGACGUUACUGACACUGAGGCGCGAAAGCGUGGGGAGCGAACAGG